RNAcentral lists this ribosomal RNA (277 nucleotides) under uncultured bacterium. Its description in RNAcentral is "partial 16S ribosomal RNA". It matches the Rfam family "Bacterial small subunit ribosomal RNA", at positions 29 to 333 of the family's 1533-position model. The record is from RNAcentral.
AACGAACGCUGGCGGCAUGCCUAACACAUGCAAGUCGAACGAUGCCUUCGGGCAUAGUGGCGCACGGGUGCGUAACGCGUGGGAAUCUACCCCUGGGUUCGGAAUAACAGUUAGAAAUGACUGCUAAUACCGGAUGAUGACGUAAGUCCAAAGAUUUAUCGCCCAGGGACGAGCCCGCGUAGGAUUAGCUAGUUGGUGAGGUAAAGGCUCACCAAGGCGACGAUCCUUAGCUGGUCUGAGAGGAUGAUCAGCCACACUGGGACUGAGACACGGCCCA